Molecule: ribosomal RNA, 404 nt
Filed under: uncultured bacterium
Lineage: Bacteria
Description: partial 16S ribosomal RNA
Rfam family: Bacterial small subunit ribosomal RNA
Source: RNAcentral
AUUGAACGCUGGCGGCAGGCCUAACACAUGCCAGUCGAGCGAGCGGCGGAUGGGUGAGUCAUGCCUGCCAAUUUCUCAGUCGAGGGGGAUAUCAGUUGGCAACGACUGCUAAUACCGCAUAAUUUUGUAUUGCUCAGGUGGCAUUAGCUAGUUUGUGAGGUAAUGGCUCACAAAGGCAACGAGCCCUAGCUGGUCUGAGAGGAUGAUCAGCCACACUGGAACGGAGACACGGUCCAGACUCCUACGGGAGGCAGCAGUGGGGAAUAUUGCACAAUGGGGGAAAGCCUGAUGCAGCCAUGCCGCGUGUGUGAAGAAGGCCUUCGGGUUGUAAAGCACUUUCAGCGAGGAGGCGUUACUCGCAGAAGAAGCACCGGCUAACUCCGUGCCAGCAGCCGCGGUAAUUC